RNAcentral lists this transfer RNA (66 nucleotides) under Archispirostreptus gigas (African giant black millipede). RNAcentral describes it as "tRNA-Ile". The record is from RNAcentral. Lineage: Eukaryota; Metazoa; Arthropoda; Diplopoda; Spirostreptida; Spirostreptidae.
AUUAGAGUGCCUGAGCAAAGGGUUAUUCUGAUAUUAUAAUUCACGUAAAACCAUUUACCUCUAAUA